Molecule: ribosomal RNA, 500 nt
Filed under: Escherichia coli
Lineage: Bacteria; Pseudomonadati; Pseudomonadota; Gammaproteobacteria; Enterobacterales; Enterobacteriaceae
Description: bacterial LSU rRNA
Rfam family: Bacterial large subunit ribosomal RNA
Source: RNAcentral
GGCGAGCGAACGGGGAGCAGCCCAGAGCCUGAAUCAGUGUGUGUGUUAGUGGAAGCGUCUGGAAAGGCGUGCGAUACAGGGUGACAGCCCCGUACACAAAAAUGCACAUACUGUGAGCUCGAUGAGUAGGGCGGGACACGUGGUAUCCUGUCUGAAUAUGGGGGGACCAUCCUCCAAGGCUAAAUACUCCUGACUGACCGAUAGUGAACCAGUACCGUGAGGGAAAGGCGAAAAGAACCCCGGCGAGGGGAGUGAAAAAGAACCUGAAACCGUGUACGUACAAGCAGUGGGAGCACGCUUAGGCGUGUGACUGCGUACCUUUUGUAUAAUGGGUCAGCGACUUAUAUUCUGUAGCAAGGUUAACCGAAUAGGGGAGCCGAAGGGAAACCGAGUCUUAACUGGGCGUUAAGUUGCAGGGUAUAGACCCGAAACCCGGUGAUCUAGCCAUGGGCAGGUUGAAGGUUGGGUAACACUAACUGGAGGACCGAACCGACUAAUGU